RNAcentral lists this ribosomal RNA (458 nucleotides) under Theileria annulata. RNAcentral describes it as "SSU rRNA". It matches the Rfam family "Eukaryotic small subunit ribosomal RNA", at positions 486 to 984 of the family's 1831-position model. Lineage: Eukaryota; Apicomplexa; Aconoidasida; Piroplasmida; Theileriidae. The record is from RNAcentral.
CGGGGCUUAAAGUCUUGUAAUUGGAAUGAUGGGAAUUUAAACCUCUUCCAGAGUAUCAAUUGGAGGGCAAGUCUGGUGCCAGCAGCCGCGGUAAUUCCAGCUCCAAUAGCGUAUAUUAAAAUUGUUGCAGUUAAAAAGCUCGUAGUUGAAUUUCUGCUGCAUUGCUUGUGUCCCUCUGGGGUCUGUGCAUGUGGCUUUUUUCGGACGGAGUUUCUUUGUCUGAAUGUUUACUUUGAGAAAAUUAGAGUGCUCAAAGCAGGCUUACGCCUUGAAUAGUUUAGCAUGGAAUAAUAAAGUAGGACUUUGGUUCUAUUUUGUUGGUUUUAGGUACCAAAGUAAUGGUUAAUAGGAACAGUUGGGGGCAUUCGUAUUUAACUGUCAGAGGUGAAAUUCUUAGAUUUGUUAAAGACGAACUACUGCGAAAGCAUUUGCCAAGGAUGUUUUCAUUAAUCAAGAAC